GUACUAAGGUAGCAUAAUCAAUUGUCUUUUAAUUGAAGAAUGGAAUGAAAGAAUUAAUGAAAUAUAUACUGUCUCAAUUAUAAAAAUUAAUUUAAAUUUUUAGUUAAAAUGCUAAAUUUAAAUUAUGGGACGAUAAGACCCUAUAGAAUUUUAUAUUAAAUUAUUUAUAAUAAUUAAUUAUUAAAUUGUUAUAAAUAAUUUAAUAUUUAAUUGGGAGGAUUUAUAAAUUUAAUAAACUUUAUAUUAAUAAUUAAACUUUGAUUUAAGAAAAUUUAAUUUGAUAUAGUAGUAUUAAUUAGGAAAAAAAAUUACCUUAGGGAUAACAGCGUAAUAUCUUUUUAAAGUACAAAUUAAUAA
This 357-nucleotide ribosomal RNA is filed under the name Euglossa iopoecila. Its description in RNAcentral is "partial 16S ribosomal RNA". Lineage: Eukaryota; Metazoa; Arthropoda; Insecta; Hymenoptera; Apidae. The record is from RNAcentral.